GCCCCUAUAGCUCAGUGGUAGAGCACCCGCUUAGUAAGCGGAAGGUCGGUAGUUCA
This 56-nucleotide transfer RNA is filed under the name Plasmopara halstedii. It matches the Rfam family "tRNA", at positions 1 to 55 of the family's 71-position model. From Rfam's summary of the family: Transfer RNA (tRNA) molecules are approximately 80 nucleotides in length. Their secondary structure includes four short double-helical elements and three loops (D, anti-codon, and T loops). Lineage: Eukaryota; Oomycota; Peronosporomycetes; Peronosporales; Peronosporaceae. The record is from Rfam by way of RNAcentral.